GUCUAUGGCCACACCACCCUGAAUGUGCCUGAUCUCAUCUGAUCUCGGAAACUAAGCAGGGUGGGGUCUGGUUAGUAUUUACAUGGGAGACCACCUAGGAAGACCAGGUGCUGUAGGUG
RNAcentral lists this ribosomal RNA (119 nucleotides) under Pteropus alecto (black flying fox). Lineage: Eukaryota; Metazoa; Chordata; Mammalia; Chiroptera; Pteropodidae. The record is from RNAcentral.